Peromyscus californicus insignis is the source of this 137-nucleotide small nucleolar RNA. RefSeq annotates it as small nucleolar RNA SNORA5. The transcript has a single exon. The record is from RefSeq and is a predicted model, not a curated record. NCBI's taxonomy places the organism in Eukaryota, Metazoa, Chordata, Mammalia, Rodentia, Cricetidae.
UGCAGUCAAGUCAAAUUCAGCUUCCAUCCUUUUAUGGUGGGAGCUGACCCAGAAGGCUGUCACAGCAAAGCUCUGCUGCUCAUGGUCCCUGUGUCCUCUGCACUGGGACCUAGGGAUAAGGUUGGCUGCAGACAAAA